Molecule: ribosomal RNA, 123 nt
Organism: Chelonoidis abingdonii (Abingdon island giant tortoise)
Lineage: Eukaryota; Metazoa; Chordata; Testudines; Testudinidae
Source: Ensembl
GCCUGUAGCCAUACCAUCUUGUGCUGCUGACUUGUGUAAUACCCACAAGCUAAGAAAGGUUGGGCCAAGUGAGUUCUUGAAUGGGAGAUCUCUAAGGAACACCAGACCUAGCUGCUGUGGCCA